This 253-nucleotide ribosomal RNA is filed under the name uncultured bacterium. Its description in RNAcentral is "partial 16S ribosomal RNA". It matches the Rfam family "Bacterial small subunit ribosomal RNA", at positions 524 to 776 of the family's 1533-position model. The record is from RNAcentral.
UACGUAGGGUGCGAGCGUUGUCCGGAAUUACUGGGCGUAAAGAGCUCGUAGGUGGUUUGUCGCGUUGUUCGUGAAAACCGGGGGCUUAACCCUCGGCGUGCGGGCGAUACGGGCAGACUUGAGUACUGCAGGGGAGACUGGAAUUCCUGGUGUAGCGGUGGAAUGCGCAGAUAUCAGGAGGAACACCGGUGGCGAAGGCGGGUCUCUGGGCAGUAACUGACGCUGAGGAGCGAAAGCCAGGGGAGCAAACGGG